GUGAUCGCUUCAGCAGUACAUAUACUAAAAUUGGAAUGAUACAGAGAAAAUUAGCAUGGCCCCCGUGCAAGGGUGACAUGCAGAUUUGCAAAGCGUUCCAUAUUUUU
RNAcentral lists this small nuclear RNA (107 nucleotides) under Microcebus murinus (gray mouse lemur). The record is from RNAcentral. Lineage: Eukaryota; Metazoa; Chordata; Mammalia; Primates; Cheirogaleidae.